AGCCCUGAAGUAUAAGUACAUUAGAUUGCAAAUCUAAAGAAGCAGGUUAGCGCCGGCCGGGGCUU
Non-coding RNA from Kryptolebias marmoratus (mangrove rivulus), 65 nucleotides. The record is from Ensembl. Lineage: Eukaryota; Metazoa; Chordata; Actinopteri; Cyprinodontiformes; Rivulidae.